GUAACGUGUGAUGGACCCACUACGUCUGGGCCCUCCUAAGUUUUUAAUUCUCAAACUUGUCCACACUGAUCUUCUAGCAAUUGCAGUUCUGGUUUUCUAACUCUGGCCCUGGCUCCUGAGAAAGAGACUGCUCAUAGACUUCUGCUCCAACAUCCCUGAAAAAAUGCAGACCUGAUCAAUCACUUGACUGAACUCUACUUGAAACACAUGGACUUUGGUCAAAUAAGCAUUUGCCACUUGAUUUGUACAGCAUUCCAACAAACGUCCAACUCAAGUCUUCUCUUGAACCUGAUCUGCAAGGUUGUUUCUGGAGAAAGAAAGAAGGAAGUGUGCCCAGGGCCAGAGAAAAGAGACCAUGUGGACCAAAGAAGAAUGGAGAUGGAGACAGUAGCUGCCUAACCAUUUUCCUAUUCUCAUGAGAUCCAGCUAUACUUGCUAUACUUUGUCUCAGUCAGAUUCUCCGUAAGUUUUUCACAGGGAAGUCAUUUGAAUAGAUGCCUGCUCCUGGUAAUCAAAACAUUUCCUAUUGGAGCAGUUUACUUAAAUGGGUUUUGUUUCCUUUAGUUUUUUCUUCCAAUUUUUGCUUUGGUGUUUUUAAAAUAUACAUAUGUUUAAAAUUUUUUUGAUAGUUAUGGC
Molecule: long non-coding RNA, 636 nt
Filed under: Papio anubis (olive baboon)
Lineage: Eukaryota; Metazoa; Chordata; Mammalia; Primates; Cercopithecidae
Description: lncRNA (ENSPANG00000045818.1)
Source: RNAcentral